RNAcentral lists this ribosomal RNA (681 nucleotides) under Rhodotorula sp. HB 1211. Its description in RNAcentral is "eukaryotic LSU rRNA". It matches the Rfam family "Eukaryotic large subunit ribosomal RNA", at positions 1 to 668 of the family's 3401-position model. The record is from RNAcentral. Lineage: Eukaryota; Fungi; Basidiomycota; Microbotryomycetes; Sporidiobolales; Sporidiobolaceae.
UAGACCUCAAAUCAGUCAGGACUACCCGCUGAACUUAAGCAUAUCAAUAAGCGGAGGAAAAGAAACUAACAAGGAUUCCCCUAGUAACGGCGAGUGAAGUGGGAAAAGCUCAACUUUGUAAUCUGGCAGCUUUGCUGUCCGAGUUGUAGUCUCGAGAAAUGUUUUCCGCGCUGGCAUGUGUAUGAGUCUGUUGGAAUACAGCGUCAUAGAGGGUGAGAACCCCGUUCAUGACACAUCUCCCAGUGCUUUGUGAUACAUUUUCGAUGAGUCGAGUUGUUUGGGAAUGCAGCUCAAAAUGGGUGGUAAAUUCCAUCUAAAGCUAAAUAUUGGCGAGAGACCGAUAGCAAACAAGUACCGUGAGGGAAAGAUGAAAAGCACUUUGGAAAGAGAGUUAAAAGUACGUGAAAUUGUUGAAAGGGAAACGCUUGAAGUCAGACGUGCGCAGUGCGAUUCAGCUCUAUUUCGGUAGAGUGUAUUUCGUGCUAUUGCAGGCCAGCAUCGGUUUUGCGAGCCGGAUAAAGGUUAGUGGAAGGUAGCAUCUUCGGAUGUGUUAUAGCCUCUAACUGAAUACGGAUUGCGAGACCGAGGGACGCAGCACGGCGCAAGCCAGAAGAUUCGUCUUCUUCGUGCUUAGGAUGCUGGUGAAAUGGCUUUAAACGACCCGUCUUGAAACACGGACCA